AUUGAACGCUGGCGGCAUGCCUUACACAUGCAAGUCGAACGGUAACGGGCCUUCGGGUGCCGACGAGUGGCGAACGGGUGCGUAAUACAUCGGAACGUGCCCGAUCGUGGGGGAUAACGAGGCGAAAGCUUUGCUAAUACCGCAUACGAUCUACGGAUGAAAGCCGGGGACCGCAAGGCCUUGCGCGGACGGAGCGGCCGAUGGCAGAUUAGGUAGUUGGUGGGAUAAAAGCUUACCAAGCCGACGAUCUGUAGCUGGUCUGAGAGGAUGAUCAGCCACACUGGGGCUGGAACACGGCCCCGGCUCCUACGGGAGGGAGCAGUGGGGAAUUUUAGACAAUGGGGGGAAACCUGGUCCAGUCAGGGCGCGUGCAAGGUGGAGGCCUUCGGGGUGUGAACUGCGUUUGUACGGAACAAAAAGCCUUCUUUUAAUACAGGAGGGUCAUGACGGUACCGUAAGAAUAAGCACCGGCUAACUACGUG
This 482-nucleotide ribosomal RNA is filed under the name uncultured bacterium. RNAcentral's name for it is "partial 16S ribosomal RNA". It matches the Rfam family "Bacterial small subunit ribosomal RNA", at positions 29 to 507 of the family's 1533-position model. The record is from RNAcentral.